AUUGAACGCUGGCGGAAUGCUUUACACAUGCAAGUCGAGCGGCAGCACGGGGGCAACCCUGGUGGCGAGCGGCGAACGGGUGAGUAACACAUCGGAACGUACCCUGUCGUGGGGGAUAACGAGUCGAAAGAUUCGCUAAUACCGCAUACGACCCGAGGGUGAAAGCGGGGGAUCGCAAGACCUCGCGCGACUGGAGCGGCCGAUGGCGGAUUAGCUAGUUGGUGGGGUAAAGGCCCACCAAGGCGACGAUCCGUAGCGGGUCUGAGAGGACGGCCCGCCACACUGGGACUGAGACACGGCCCAGACUCCUACGGGAGGCAGCAGUGGGGAAUUUUGGACAAUGGGGGCAACCCUGAUCCAGCCAUUCCGCGUGAGUGAAGAAGGCCUCGGUUGUAAGACUCUUCGUCAGGAACGAAAAGGACUCUCUCUAACAUAGGGGUCGAAUGACGGUACCUGAAGAAGAAGCACCGGCGUAACUACGUGCCAGCAGCCGCGGUAA
This 499-nucleotide ribosomal RNA is filed under the name uncultured bacterium. Its description in RNAcentral is "bacterial SSU rRNA". It matches the Rfam family "Bacterial small subunit ribosomal RNA", at positions 29 to 523 of the family's 1533-position model. The record is from RNAcentral.